UAGAGUUUGAUCCUGGCUCAGAACGAACGCUGGCGGCAGGCUUAACACAUGCAAGUCGAGCGCCCCGCAAGGGGAGCGGCAGACGGGUGAGUAACGCGUGGGAAUCUACCUUUUGCUACGGAAUAACUCAGGGAAACUUGUGCUAAUACCGUAUGUGCCCUUCGGGGGAAAGAUUUAUCGGCAAAGGAUGAGCCCGCGUUGGAUUAGCUAGUUGGUGGGGUAAAGGCCCACCAAGGCGACGAUCCAUAGCUGGUCUGAGAGGAUGAUCAGCCACACUGGGACUGAGACACGGCCCAGACUCCUACGGGAGGCAGCAGUGGGGAAUAUUGGACAAUGGGCGCAGCCUGAUCCAGCCAUGCCGCGUGAGUGAUGAAGGCCCUAGGGUUGUAAAGCUCUUUCACCGGUGAAGAUAAUGACGGUAACCGGAGAAGAAGCCCCGGCUAACUUCGUGCCAGCAGCCGCGGUAA
RNAcentral lists this ribosomal RNA (467 nucleotides) under uncultured Ochrobactrum sp. RNAcentral's name for it is "bacterial SSU rRNA". It matches the Rfam family "Bacterial small subunit ribosomal RNA", at positions 1 to 523 of the family's 1533-position model. The record is from RNAcentral. Lineage: Bacteria; Pseudomonadati; Pseudomonadota; Alphaproteobacteria; Hyphomicrobiales; Brucellaceae.